Molecule: ribosomal RNA, 512 nt
Filed under: Cetobacterium somerae
Lineage: Bacteria; Fusobacteriati; Fusobacteriota; Fusobacteriia; Fusobacteriales; Fusobacteriaceae
Description: partial 23S ribosomal RNA
Rfam family: Bacterial large subunit ribosomal RNA
Source: RNAcentral
AAACAGCGAGGAACAUAUCACGAAAGGCAAGAUACUCUUAAUAACCGAUAGUGUAUAGUAAAGAGAGAGAAAGGUGAAAAUAACCGCGGGAGGGGCGUGAAAUGGAAGCUGAAAUCGUGUGCUUACAAGCGGUAAAAACCUAUUGGGAUGAUGGAGUGCCAUAUGGAGAAUGUACAUGAGAAUUGCGUUCAGUGACUAGGUAAAGUAUAUCGGAGCAGAAGGGAAACCGAGUCUGAAUAGGGCGACAUAGUCGAAGGGCGUAGACGCGAAACCUGGUGAUCUAAGAGUGUCCAGGGUGAAGCUAUGGUAAGACACAGUGGAGGCACGAACUCACCACAGAGGAAAAGUAGAGAGAGGAGGUAGGGAUAGGGGUGAAAAGCCAAUAGAACCAGGAGAGAGAUCGUACACUAAGACAUGCAGUGAAGUGCAGCGUUGAGAGAUCAAUUAUGGGGGUAGAGCACUGAAUGAUCGAGGGGGCAUACUGCUAACCGAAGGAAAGCAAACUCCGAAUA